CAAGCGCAACACAACCGGAAAUAUGGCUAACGGAAAGAAGGAGAAAGUGGCUAAAAAGCUCCCAACAGUACCAGAAUCUGUGCUGAAAAGAAGAAAGCGCCGCGAUACCGCGAAAGCAGUUCGUCUACGACUUCAAUGAAGGAAAAUACAAUGCUAUAUGUAGGGAAGAUUUAAUCAAUACGCCAAUCAUUUCUUCUGGCCAUUUAAGGAAAGAACAAUUUUAUAUGAUUCUGUAGGGAAGAUUUAAUUAAUACGCCAAUCAUUUCUUCUGGCCAUUUAAGGAAAGAACAAUUUUAUAUGAUUCUGUAGGGAAGAUUUAAUUAAUACGCCAAUCAUUUCUUCUGGCCAUUUAAGCUUAGCACACCAGGUGAAGGUUAGUGCUAGAAGAGCAACAGAGCAGAUGCAUAGGAACUUUUUUUCUAGAGUGAAAUCCUGUUAUAUAUAUUUUUGUUAAAUUUAAAAUUAAAUAAAAAUUUAUUUCAAGUAAA
Belonocnema kinseyi is the source of this 488-nucleotide long non-coding RNA. RefSeq lists it as uncharacterized. The transcript is spliced from 6 exons. The record is from RefSeq and is a predicted model, not a curated record. Lineage: Eukaryota; Metazoa; Arthropoda; Insecta; Hymenoptera; Cynipidae.